CAGGGCCUCGCAGGGGACGGGUGGGCUGCCCGCAGCGGGCUGUUCCCGCCAAGGGCCUGCGCGCGGCUCGUGGAGGGGCUGCAAACAGCCAGUUGGCCAGGCUCCGUCUUUGCCUUGUUUCAGAAGAGUUUGUUUUUCCAGACUCUAUCCAAGUCUGUUUUAAUCCACCAAAAGAGGAGCUAAGUUUGAUAAAUAAAAGAAGAUUAAAAAUGGUAGAGAAAAGUGUUUUUCCCCGUUCCCAGGAGAAGCCUGCCAGAACCGAAGUGGAGGAACAAAAAUAGACAUACUCGCCAGUCGGAUGCGCUCGCGGCCUCUCUUCCACGAAAAAGGCGGCGCCGUGGUCCCGCGGAGCCCUCGCGGCCUGGGAGGCAACUCACCUCCCGCCCUGAUGGAGAUGCACCUGUGACUUUCAAGGCGGCAGUGCUGGACGGGGUCAGAGUGACGAGAGUGGCAGAGGGGACCUUGGACCAGCCCUGGUCAGGAGGCGGCAUCUGGGCGGCCCGGAGACUGAAAACGUUACAGCAGAGGGGGCAGUGUCACCUGCCACCUCACAGGUAUCGCCUCCUGUAAGCAUCGCCCCUUCUCAGGGUGGUUCUCAGUGGGGCCUCGGUCUUGCCUGGGAGCCCGCUGUUCGAAAUGCAGAUUCUGGGCCCCCCAGCCACUCAGCUGGAGACUCCGGGCGUGGGGGGCCGGUUCCUCCGUCUCUCUCCGGGGGUCUCGCGUCUCGCAUGUGGAAAGCCACUGUGCUGGGUAGUGUCCCCCAGCCCACUUCUUUAGUGGGCAAAAUGGAGUGAACUAGACACCCUACACGUGACGUCUGCUCAGGGACAGACACGGGGCCGGGUGAGGCUCUGCUCGUCCAGAGCGAACCAGGCGUCCUGGCUCCCGGCGCGUCCACACCACGUGCUCUCCCUUCUGGAUCCUCCAGGUCCUCAGAUGGGUGGGGACCCUUGGGUCCCCAGUCCUGGGUGACUGACGGGGACACUGGAGCCUGAGGGGGUGGGGCCAGCUUCCAAGCCGAAGCGGUGUCCAGAGAGGCCCUGGAGCUUUCCCCGACCAGCGCUGGGGGCUGUCAAGCCCUGGCCGGGUUGCACUUUGCUUAACAUGAAACGUUAUGGGGAAGAUGUCAGGAUUUUAGCCAAGUCUCUGGAGACGAUUCGAGAUGCCCCUGCCCCCACCCCCUCCCUGCUCCGCUUCCNGGAGCUGUAGCCGCUGGCCUAUGCCACAGCCACAGCAAUUUGGGAUCCAAGCCAUGUCUGCCACCUACACAACAGCUCCAGCAACGCCGGAUCCUUAACCCAUUGAGCAAGGCCAGGGAUUAA
Molecule: long non-coding RNA, 1322 nt
Filed under: Sus scrofa (pig)
Lineage: Eukaryota; Metazoa; Chordata; Mammalia; Artiodactyla; Suidae
Description: lncRNA (ENSSSCG00015030971.1)
Source: RNAcentral